AUAAAAGACGCGGUUAAAACAGUUAAAAAAAGCAAAUAGGCUUCGUAUAAAAGAGCGUUUAGAAAAAAUUAUGAAUAAAAAAUUCGGCCAAAAUUUGUACGAACCGUUGUACGUGUAUCUGACGAGAGAGGGGAGUGUAUAAAUAAAAGAAAAACGGGAGGUGGCGCUAAUUUGGCUGUAUUAUAACGGUUGGCCGACCCGUAACUUUGCGUGUUCUUUGUUUUAAACGCGCCGAUACGACGUUUAGAACAAUACAAUUAAUUAAAUAUCUAAUGGCGGCAUCUGUAAUCGAUAGUUUGCCAAAUGUCGAGGUAUCAUUGUACUGUAUAUUUCGGAGCUGUACUGUACAAGCGUCGAUUUCGUGGAAAUACAAAUUACGUUUGACCUAAAUUUAUAAUGCAAAUACAAUUUAACAUACGUGUCUUAUUGCUAAAACAGUUGUAAAGAAGAUGACCAGGGACUAUA
Long non-coding RNA from Centruroides sculpturatus (bark scorpion), 465 nucleotides. RefSeq lists it as uncharacterized. The transcript is spliced from 3 exons. The record is from RefSeq and is a predicted model, not a curated record. NCBI's taxonomy places the organism in Eukaryota, Metazoa, Arthropoda, Arachnida, Scorpiones, Buthidae.